Molecule: long non-coding RNA, 226 nt
Filed under: Lathyrus oleraceus (garden pea)
Lineage: Eukaryota; Viridiplantae; Streptophyta; Magnoliopsida; Fabales; Fabaceae
Description: Pisum sativum (pea) long non-coding RNA (PSAT_LNC000432)
Source: RNAcentral
ACGUAAGGUUAGAUCCAGUAAAAAUUACACAAUAGUUUCCGGUGUAGAAACUAUCGUGAGAAAAUAAAUUGUAUGCUUCAAAAAAUUAAACUAGAAAAAAGAAAAGAAAUAAAUUGCUUGAAAAAUUAGAAUGCUGGAAAAAUUAUGCUGGAAAAAUAAUGCUGGAAAAAUUGUCCGGAGAAGAGAGAGCUUCAAUUGGCUUUUGUGAGGUUUAUUUAUAUUCACC